AAGUCGUAACAAGGUUUCCGUAGGUGAACCUGCGGAAGGAUCAUUAACACGUAUCCAACGUUAAACAACCCUGUGAACCUUCAUUCCUGCUCUCCUCGAGCCCUAACAAAAGCAAUUCUUGGAACAAUUUAUUGAUUCGAGGACCUCUUUUGUUAGCCCUCGGGGAUUCGAUGCGGUCGUCGCAACUUAGGCUUGGCUUCUGUGGGGCAGUAAGUGGGUGAAAGUGCCACUGAUUGCUUAAGCGGAUAACCGAUUAAAAACCGGAUCACCGAGUGCCUACACGGCCGGUGAACAAGUCUCUGGGCGCAAGCCCCCAAAUUAACUACCUCUAAGCUUUAGUGGCCGCCUAGUGCUGUCACUGUCGUGAAAGCUGAACAACUGUUAACAAUGGAUAUCUUGGUUCUC
This 405-nucleotide unclassified non-coding RNA is filed under the name fungal sp. RNAcentral's name for it is "partial internal transcribed spacer region". The stretch from base 1 to 46 matches the Rfam family "Eukaryotic small subunit ribosomal RNA", at positions 1786 to 1831 of the family's 1831-position model. The record is from RNAcentral. Lineage: Eukaryota; Fungi.